Molecule: ribosomal RNA, 301 nt
Filed under: uncultured bacterium
Lineage: Bacteria
Description: partial 16S ribosomal RNA
Rfam family: Bacterial small subunit ribosomal RNA
Source: RNAcentral
CAGUAGCCGCGGGAAAACGGAGGGAGCUAGCGUUGUUCGGGAUUACUGGGCGUAAAGCGCACGUAGGCGGCUUUGUAAGUUAGAGGUGAAAGCCUGGAGCUCAACUCCAGAAUUGCCUUUAAGACUGCAUCGCUUGAAUCCGGGAGAGGUGAGUGGAAUUCCGAGUGUAGAGGUGAAAUUCGUAGAUAUUCGGAAGAACACCAGUGGCGAAGGCGGCUCACUGGACCGGCAUUGACGCUGAGGUGCGAAAGCGUGGGGAGCAAACAGGAUUAGAUACCCGUGUAGUCCCUGUCUCUUAUAC